GACGAACGUUGGCGGCGUGCUUAAUACAUGCAAGUCAACUGAAGCAGUGGUAGCAAUAUCGCUGUGGAGGUGGCGCACGGGUGAGUAACACGUAGGUAAUCUGCCUUCAGGUCUGGCAUAACUCCGGGAAACCGGGGCUAAUAGCAGAUGAUGCAGCGGCUCGACAUCGAGACAGUUGUUAAAGCUAUGGCGCCUGAAGAUGAGCCUGCGUCUGAUUAGCUAGUUGGCGGGGUAACGGCCCACCAAGGCAACGAUCAGUAGCUGGUCUGAGAGGAUGAUCAGCCACACUGGAACUGAGACACGGUCCAGACUCCUACGGGAGGCAGCAGUAAGGAAUAUUGCUCAAUGGGAGAAAUCCUGAAGCAGCAACGCCGCGUGAGGGACGAAGGGCUUUUGCUUGUAAACCUCUGUAGUGAGAGAAAAAGAUCCCAAUCUUUGGGACAUGAUGGUAUCUCAAAAGUAAGCCCCGGCUAACUACGUG
Molecule: ribosomal RNA, 481 nt
Filed under: uncultured bacterium
Lineage: Bacteria
Description: partial 16S ribosomal RNA
Rfam family: Bacterial small subunit ribosomal RNA
Source: RNAcentral